CUGGCUCAGGACGAACGCUGGCGGCGUGCCUAACACAUGCAAGUCGAACGGAGUAUUCUAACACAGGGCGGCCUCGGAAAGAGGACGUCGUGUGUUAGAAAUAACUUAGUGGCGGACGGGUGAGUAACGCGUGAGCAAUCUGCCUUACAGAGGGGGAUAACAGCUGGAAACGGCUGCUAAUACCGCAUGAUAUGCACUGGGGACAUCCUCGGAGCAUCAAAGAUUUUAUCGCUGUAAGAUGAGCUCGCGUCCAAUUAGAUAGUUGGCGGGGUAAUGGCCCACCAAGUCGACGAUUGGUAGCCGGACUGAGAGGUUGAACGGCCACAUUGGGACUGAGAUACGGCCCAGACUCCUACGGGAGGCAGCAGUGGGGGAUAUUGCACAAUGGGGGAAACCCUGAUGCAGCAACGCCGCGUGAAGGAAGAAGGUCUUCGGAUUGUAAACUUUUGUCUUGCGGGACGAAUAAUGACGGUACCGCAGGAGGAAGCCACGGCUAACUACGUGCCAGCAGCGGC
Molecule: ribosomal RNA, 515 nt
Filed under: uncultured bacterium
Lineage: Bacteria
Description: bacterial SSU rRNA
Rfam family: Bacterial small subunit ribosomal RNA
Source: RNAcentral